UUGUGUAAAGAAACCGUGUGCUUGAUACAUUAUAAAUUUAUCAAAUUAUUUUUUAUUUAUUUCAUGAUAAAGAGAAAAAUAUGGCUAAUGUCACUAAGUUCGUUUAUAUUGCGAUCUACUUUCUUUCACUAUUUUUCAUUGCAAAGAACGAUGCCACCGCAACUUUUUGUCAUGACGACUCUCAUUGUGUAACAAAAAUUAAGUGUGUGCUUCCUCGGACACCGCAAUGUAGGAAUGAAGCAUGUGGUUGUUAUCAUUCCAAUAAAUUUCGAUGACGAUAAAAUGUUCCAUGUGUGAAUUACACAUGUGUUUGUUAUAAUUCAAAUAAAUAUCGCUGAUGAUAAAAUGUUACAUGACAUUUCAUUUAACUAAUGAUUCGGCAUUUAAUAAUUUAAUUUAUUUUGUGUUAUCGCGA
Molecule: long non-coding RNA, 415 nt
Organism: Medicago truncatula (barrel medic)
Lineage: Eukaryota; Viridiplantae; Streptophyta; Magnoliopsida; Fabales; Fabaceae
Exons: 2
Source: RefSeq, a predicted model, not a curated record